This 379-nucleotide long non-coding RNA is filed under the name Elaeis guineensis (African oil palm). RNAcentral's name for it is "long non-coding RNA (EGUI_LNC011313)". The record is from RNAcentral. Lineage: Eukaryota; Viridiplantae; Streptophyta; Magnoliopsida; Arecales; Arecaceae.
AUCCACGGGGAGGAGGAGCAAUUCACUAUAAAUUCGUCCCGAAAAAUAGGUACAAUAUGAGGUAUAAAAUAUCCUUAACCGAAACCAACAAGAAGACAACAGAGUAUCGAAAAGAAGUCAACAAAGAUCCAAUCGGAUCUACCAAUUUCAGCCUCGGCAAUAGAUCAAGGUAAGAUAAUACCUGAGGUGAAGAUACUUUUCUCAAUCCUCGGCAAAAAAUCAAGAUGAAUACCUCCUUACCAACCGAACAAGCGUUCGGUCAUCAGCACAGGGCAUCUGUGAAAUCGAGAAGGAAGAAGAUAGGUAGAACACUAACAGAACACCAGCGGGAGAAGGUCAGGAAGAACACCAGUGGGAGAAGGCCAGGAAGAACACCAGC